UUUACAUAUAAAGUUAGUAAAGAGAUCAGUGACAUACAUUAUGACAGCGCCGGCGUUGAAAAACUAAAAGGCGUAUGACCAGGGUUGCUUAGCAAAAGUUAACUUUUCAAUUUUCCUUCAAAUUCUGGAAAUACGUUUCAAGCAAAUUGAAUUUCAAAUUGCUGAACAAAUUGCCAUUCAAUUUGACAACAACUAUUCGUCAUCUUUUAUAAAUCUGUUUUUUGACUACAAUAUAAAGGUAAAAUACUGUACAAAUUGUCGAAAAAUUAACUGAAAAUUUUCCUUUUCAACUUUUGCUGUUAAUUUGUCACCAAAUUCCGGCAAAAGAUUUCAGGUAAACUGAAUUUUCAAGUUACCAUCAACUUACGGAUACAAUGGCUAUUAGGGAAAAAAAAAUACAUGGCUUCAUUGUCACAACCGAAAAGUAAAGUGGAUCUAUCAAUAUCAAAACUAUUUAUUGGUUUAUGUAAAGGUGCACAUAGUUCAGUAAUAUUUACUUUAGCAUCAAUUCCACGUGUUGCUAACCAAUGGCUAUCAUUAUCUAAAAUUUAUAUAAAUUUAUUAUUAUAUUUUUUUUCAUAUAUCAAACAAAAAUAUUAAUUAUUUAAACAAUAAAUAAUAUUACCAAGAUUCAAUUUAGAGCCAUGAACAUUAUUCCAAUGCCAUAAUUCACCAUUAAUAGAACAAGUGAAUAAAUUAUUUGGUCUAUCCGGAUGAAACAUAACUUCACUAACUGCUUGGGAAUGAGCUAAAAGUUGAGAUAUAGGAUGUGUACUUUGACGUAAAUCCCAAACUGAAAGACUACCAUCACCUCCACCGGCAGCAACAAUGUGUCGUUGAGUAGGAUGAUGGGCUAUAUCCGUAGCUUCUGUCUAAAAAUUUUUUUAUAUUAAUUUUAAUUUUAAUUAUUACUAUUUUAAUAAAUACAUACUUUAAGUUGAUCAGGAAGCAUAAAAGUUGUUGCUGGUUUAUCUUGAUCGUUUCUAAGAUCCCAAAGUUUCAUAUGACCUCUGGUAUUACUAGUUAAUAUUUCAUUGUGUCUUAAAAAAUCAAUGCAAAGUAAUGAACAGCUAUCGGCAUUUUCAAUUGUUCUUACAGGAUUUUUAAGUUGAGCUGUUAGUAAAUUUAUUCUUCCAUCUUCUCCAACAGUAGCUAUAUCUUGAUUAAAAGUUGAUAAUGCUGUACAAGAUGCAUUUUCACCGGUGCU
Molecule: long non-coding RNA, 1207 nt
Organism: Microplitis mediator
Lineage: Eukaryota; Metazoa; Arthropoda; Insecta; Hymenoptera; Braconidae
Exons: 2
Source: RefSeq, a predicted model, not a curated record